UCCCCGUGCCGGAAUCCUGCCAGCGCCCCAGAGAGUCGCCACAGAGGAGCCGCUCCCUCCGGAGCCCGAGUGACCCCUCUCCUCCCAGGCCCCUCCGGGCUCGGUGUCGGGGCAGUCACAGGGAUGAGAACCUCCUUCCUGCCCCUUUAUCGCUCCCUCUCCAGGUGAGGCUCCGAGGAGGAGAAAUGGCCGCCAGGCUCCGUCCCCCCUGACUCUUCCUCGGGCCUCGGGGUCAGAAAAGCGGCUGGAUCCGGGAGGAGCCCUGGCGGCCCGAGUGACAAAGGCCGCUUUUCUUCCUGCGCUGGAAUCACGUCAUGUUGUUAAACCGCAUUUGGGGGCAAUUGUUCCAAUUCAUGGUUGGGACAGGAGGUCUGAAAUCAAACAGACAAUUCCAGACAGUUGGAAGAUAGACCUCAUUUGACAUCAGAUUAUCCAUACUGUGAAAGAUCUUAAGAACGUAAUGACUAUGGGAAGACUUUCUGCCUGACUACAGCUUUUAUCUAAGGGAUGUGUCGAGGGUUAGGAUUGACUACCUAUCAAUUACAACCAUUAAAUGACACUUUAAGGAGAGACACUGUUUUAAACUCACCACGUCAGCUUACAAAAAAAGCUCACGAGUCUUUCAGAGAACUUGAACUGACUUUAUCCAAUGUGGUUGAAUGUCAUUCAAAAACCCUUGGAAAUAUCAGUUUUUGCUACACAAGAGGCACCCACAGCAGUCCUUCAUCAAGCAGACAGUGUGUGAUAGAAUGGGUGAACCUCCCAACACAACCAGAACAAACUCUUAAUCUUUACGCAGUGCCUAUGGCUAGAAUUUUAUUAAAAGCCAUUGAGCGAGCAGUACAAUUAACUGGGAUAAGAUAUACACCAUUUAUACUAAUGCACAAAUUAAUGUAUGCUGUGAAACCAUCCCAGAGUGGCAAAUUUUAUUAGCUAUGGCUCCAAAUUUUACACACGGGACUCCAUUAAAGAGAACCAGACUAUUACAUAAUUGACAGUGGAUUCUUGAAGAAAAGGUUUUUAAAGGUCCUCUUAAAGGACCAACUCUCUUUACAGAUGCAUCCAAACGGAAUAUUUGUGCUGUAUACUCUUGUGACUUAACUGUAAAGAGAGUACUCAGAAUUCCUUUUCAGUCCACUCAGCAGAAUGAAUUGUAUGCGAUCAUUCUAGCUCUUACUUAUUAUCCAGGAGGGAUAAAUAGAGUAUCUGAUUUAGCCUGUUCAGUAGGUGUGGUACAAAAAAUUGCCAUAGCCCAAAUAAAAUUUGUAACCUCUAAUAUAUAUCAGCUCUUUUAGGAACUUCAAGAGCAAGUGAGAAAGCAUCCAGGUGAUGUGGAGAGGCCCAGAAAGUGGUGAAUGGAAGGGACCGGAUAUAUAAACUGCUUGGGGGAGAGGGUUUGCUUUUAUCUCCACAAAUGGAGAAGGAAUCAGAUGGGUACCAGUGAGCCAUAUUCACCUUGUCCAUCAGAGAGAUGGUAUUUUGAAUGGUAAUUCAAAGGCAGAUAGCCUUCUAACCAUGUUGGUCAAUACUCCUUUAUUUCAGGCAGCCCAAGAAUCUCAUUCUGAAUAUCAUCAGGCUGCUUGAGCUUUACGCUUACAAUUUGGAAUAACAAGAGAGGAAGGCAGCCCAAGAAUCUCAUUCUGAAUAUCAUCAGGCUGCUUGAGCUUUACGCUUACAAUUUGGAAUAACAAGAGAGGAGGGUAGGAGCAUAGUAAAAACCUGUACACCUUGCCUUCCCUUCCACGCUCCUACACUGCCUCCAGAGAAGAACCCUUGUGGUUUGAGACCCAUUGAAAUGUGGCAAAUGGAUUUGACCCAUUAUAAAUCUUUUGGUCCUCUGUCUUUUUUCCAUGUUGUGGUAGACACCUUUUCAGGAUUCACUUUUACAAUACCAGCAGCAAAAGAGACAGCCUGAGUGAUCACUGAAUUCCUUAUACAAGCAUUUGCAAUUAUGGGUGCGCCACAAGCAAGGAAAACAGACAAUGGACCUGCAUAUACUUCUAAACAUUUUGCACACUUUUGUGCACAGUGUAAGAUUUUACACACCACUAGCAUACCUUUUAAUCCUCAACUACAGGCAAUAGUAGAGAAGAGAAACAGAGACAUUAAGAUGCUCCUCUGAAAACAAAAGUAAGGGGGAGCCACAGACAACCCUAGAGAACUUGUAAAUCUAGCUCUUUAUACUAUUUCUUGAUUUUUGACAAGGUGCAUUGGCUCUGGCAGGCAGGUUUUAUAACCCACCGGAAGGGCAGUGUCCAGUGCGAGCCUCUCCAUUAUCUUUAAUCGCCAGGUGAUGUGGAGAGGCCCAGAAAGUGGUGAAUGGAAGGGACCCGAUAUGUUAACUGCUUGGGGGAGAGGGUUUGCUUGUAUCUCCACAAAUGGAGAAGGAAUCAGAUGGGUGCCAAUGAGCCAUAUUCACCUUGUC
Molecule: long non-coding RNA, 2425 nt
Organism: Antechinus flavipes (yellow-footed antechinus)
Lineage: Eukaryota; Metazoa; Chordata; Mammalia; Dasyuromorphia; Dasyuridae
Exons: 5
Source: RefSeq, a predicted model, not a curated record